This 87-nucleotide unclassified non-coding RNA is filed under the name Pseudomonas sp. NFIX10. RNAcentral also lists the same sequence under 1 other name. The record is from RNAcentral. Lineage: Bacteria; Pseudomonadati; Pseudomonadota; Gammaproteobacteria; Pseudomonadales; Pseudomonadaceae.
GUGGGAGCGAGCUUGCUCGCGAUGGCGUCGUGUCAGUCAGCGAACAGCAGGCUGACCCAGCGCUAUCGCGAGCAAGCUCGCUCCCAC